GUGGAUAGUUUUUGUACAGAACGCUUGAGAAGUAACGCGGAACACUUUCAAAGCCGGGAAUUUUAGCAGCUUCUUGCGCUGGGUCCGUUUACUUACUACAAACAAUGGGUACUAUGUACGCCGGUCGUUUUCUCAUUUUCGAGAGA
Pseudomonas syringae pv. tomato str. DC3000 is the source of this 146-nucleotide small RNA. It matches the Rfam family "Pseudomonas sRNA P14". Lineage: Bacteria; Pseudomonadati; Pseudomonadota; Gammaproteobacteria; Pseudomonadales; Pseudomonadaceae. The record is from Rfam.